Long non-coding RNA from Drosophila grimshawi, 936 nucleotides. RefSeq lists it as uncharacterized. NCBI's taxonomy places the organism in Eukaryota, Metazoa, Arthropoda, Insecta, Diptera, Drosophilidae. The transcript has 3 exons. The record is from RefSeq and is a predicted model, not a curated record.
CACAACCAAGCUGGCCCCAUCAGCAGCACAACAACAAUCGAUAAGGCCAGCUUUUAACUGUAAAGCUUGCGGGGGAAAAGCUGUUAUCGUUGUAUGUCAACAUUUUCACGGUUGCCACGCGAAAAGCUAACAAUUCCUGCACAGUGUGCUUUUGUGUCUGAUUCCUUUAACGCGUUCACGUUGCUAAUGGUCCAGUUGGCCUGCGUGGAGAAACCACAAAGAAAAAGAAAUAAUAAUAUUACAAAUAACUAACGCCAAUCGCGCCAAUCAAUGAUAAGUUAUCAGCACUAAUGGCAAUUCUGUGUAGUGCAGCCGCCUGGAAAUAAGCGAAAUUCAAUAAUUGAAAAAGAAAAGGCUGAUAAGACAUAAGCCACAAAAAUCUAUAACAAUAGAACCAAAAGUUACACCAGACUUAAACAAAUGCCAAAUUUUAAAUGUUUUAUUAGACAAUUAACAAGGAGCACAUCACAAACCGUCAUUUAAACGUCCAAAGAGCAACAAUUGCACCACCGUCUAACAUAAUAAUAAAAACACAAAAAACAAACCCCCUCAAUUUAUCUGUGGCAAACAACAACCAUAAAAAAAAAGCUCUUAGCAGGCCAUGUCAAGCGGUGAGAGAGAGAGAGAGAGAAAUAGUGUGAAUGAGUGAGUGAGAAAGUGAGCAAGCACAAUUUGCAUGGGAAUGUGUGUGAAGGGAAGACUGGGACACAGCUCACCUGUUGGACUGGCUGACGUUGACCGCAUUUAAUGGCACCGCGUUUAUAGAGCAGUUCUCGAAAGUGCUGUGAAUGAAAGCAGAAAUCAAUUUAGUCGUGGGAAGGAAACUUCAAAUAUGAAUACAGGAGAACAUAAGGAGCAUGCAACGUCAGCGCAGCAUAAAGAAAAAUCACCAACAGCCCAAGAACAGCAAAAGCAACAGGAACAACAACAGCAACA